AACCAGUACCGUGAGGGAAAGGUGAAAAGCACCCCGGAAGGGGAGUGAAAUAGAACCUGAAACCGUGUGCUUACAAGUAGUCAGAGCCCGUUAAUGGGUGAUGGCGUGCCUUUUGUAGAAUGAACCGGCGAGUUACGAUUUGAUGCAAGGUUAAGCAGUAAAUGUGGAGCCGUAGCGAAAGCGAGUCUGAAUAGGGCGUUUAGUAUUUGGUCGUAGACCCGAAACCAGGUGAUCUACCCUUGGUCAGGUUGAAGUUCAGGUAACACUGAAUGGAGGACCGAACCGACUUACGUUGAAAAGUGAGCGGAUGAACUGAGGGUAGCGGAGAAAUUCCAAUCGAACCUGGAGAUAGCUGGUUCUCUCCGAAAUAGCUUUAGGGCUAGCCUCAAGUGAUGAUUAUUGGAGGUAGAGCACUGUUUGGACGAGGGGCCCCUCUCGGGUUACCGAAUUCAGACAAACUCCGAAUGCCAAUUAAUUUAACUUGGGAGUCAGAACAUGGGUGAUAAGGUCCGUGUUCGAAAGGGAAACAGCCCAGACCACCAGCUAAGGUCCCAAAAUAUAUGUUAAGUGGAAAAGGAUGUGGCGUUGCCCAGACAACUAGGAUGUUGGCUUAGAAGCAGCCAUCAUUUAAAGAGUGCGUAAUAGCUCACUAGUCGAGUGACACUGCGCCGAAAAUGUACCGGGGCUAAACAUAUUACCGAAGCUGUGGAUUGUCCUUUGGACAAUGGUAGGAGAGCGUUCUAAGGGCGUUGAAGCA
This 757-nucleotide ribosomal RNA is filed under the name Staphylococcus aureus. Its description in RNAcentral is "partial 23S ribosomal RNA". It matches the Rfam family "Bacterial large subunit ribosomal RNA", at positions 493 to 1257 of the family's 2925-position model. Lineage: Bacteria; Bacillati; Bacillota; Bacilli; Caryophanales; Staphylococcaceae. The record is from RNAcentral.